This 326-nucleotide long non-coding RNA is filed under the name Homo sapiens (human). Its description in RNAcentral is "non-protein coding lnc-ABHD4-12:2". The record is from RNAcentral. Lineage: Eukaryota; Metazoa; Chordata; Mammalia; Primates; Hominidae.
UUCAACCCUGAGUGUCCAGGAGGGAGACAGCGCUGUUAUCAAGUGUACUUAUUCAGACAGUGCCUCAAACUACUUCCCUUGGUAUAAGCAAGAACUUGGAAAAGGACCUCAGCUUAUUAUAGACAUUCGUUCAAAUGUGGGCGAAAAGAAAGACCAACGAAUUGCUGUUACAUUGAACAAGACAGCCAAACAUUUCUCCCUGCACAUCACAGAGACCCAACCUGAAGACUCGGCUGUCUACUUCUGUGCAGCAAGUAAAUACCGGCACUGCCAGUAAACUCACCUUUGGGACUGGAACAAGACUUCAGGUCACGCUCGGUAGGUAA